This 67-nucleotide transfer RNA is filed under the name uncultured Faecalibacterium sp. It matches the Rfam family "tRNA". Rfam says of the family: Transfer RNA (tRNA) molecules are approximately 80 nucleotides in length. Their secondary structure includes four short double-helical elements and three loops (D, anti-codon, and T loops). Lineage: Bacteria; Bacillati; Bacillota; Clostridia; Eubacteriales; Oscillospiraceae. The record is from RNAcentral.
UAAUGUGGCGCAACGGUAGCGCAGCUGAUUUGUAAUCAGCCGGUUGCAGGUUCGAAUCCUGUCAUUA